GGUUGAUCCUGCCAGUAGUCAUAUGCUUGUCUCAAAGAUUAAGCCAUGCAUGUCUAAGUAUAAACAAUUUUAUACUGUGAAACUGCGUACAGCUCAUUAUAUCAGUAAUUAUUUCUUUGAUGGUUCCUUACUACAUGGAUAACCGUAGUAAUUCUAGAGCUAAUACAUGCUUAAAAUUUCGAUUUGGCAACAAAAAGAAAUGUAUUUAUUAGAUAAAAAAUCAAUGGUGAAUAGCAAUAUUCAUCUUCAUUGGUGAUUCAUAGUAACUCAACGAAUCGCAUGGCUUUAUG
Molecule: ribosomal RNA, 290 nt
Filed under: uncultured eukaryote
Lineage: Eukaryota
Description: partial 18S ribosomal RNA
Rfam family: Eukaryotic small subunit ribosomal RNA
Source: RNAcentral